GACGAACGCUGGCGGCGUGCCUAAUACAUGCAAGUUGAGCGAUGAAGAUUGGUGCUUGCACCAAUUUGAAGAGCAGCGAACGGGUGAGUAACGCGUGGGGAAUCUGCCUUUGAGCGGGGGACAACAUUUGGAAACGAAUGCUAAUACCGCAUAACAACUUUAAACAUAAGUUUUAAGUUUGAAAGAUGCAAUUGCAUCACUCAAAGAUGAUCCCGCGUUGUAUUAGCUAGUUGGUGAGGUAAAGGCUCACCAAGGCGAUGAUACAUAGCCGACCUGAGAGGGGGAUCGGCCACAUUGGGACUGAGACACGGCCCAAACUCCUACGGGAGGCAGCAGUAGGGAAUCUUCGGCAAUGGACGAAAGUCUGACCGAGCAACGCCGCGUGAGUGAAGAAGGUUUUCGGAUCGUAAAACUCUGUUGGUAGGGAAGAACGUUGGUGAGAGUGGAAAGCUCAUCAAGUGACGGUAACUACCCAGAAAAGGACGGCUAACUACGUG
RNAcentral lists this ribosomal RNA (497 nucleotides) under uncultured bacterium. Its description in RNAcentral is "partial 16S ribosomal RNA". It matches the Rfam family "Bacterial small subunit ribosomal RNA", at positions 28 to 507 of the family's 1533-position model. The record is from RNAcentral.